UCAUUGCAGAUGGCCGAGGGGCGGAAGGCGCAGGUGGUCCUACUGGACGAGAGAAGACUGGACAUGAUGGUACAGCCCAAGCUGUAUGCAGGGGAUCUCCUGGACAUAGUGGCCUCACAUUUCAACCUCAAAGAAAAAGAAUACUUUGGUCUUUGCUUCCUGGAUGAAACAAACCACUUCACCUGGUUACAGUUGGACAGGAAGGUGCUAGAACAUGAUUUCCCAAAGAAACAGUCCACAGGGACGCUGAUCCUUUACUUCUCUGUCAGGUUCUAUAUAGAAAGUAUAGCCUACCUCAGAGACAAAGUGACAGUGGAAUUAUUUUAUCUGCAGGCAAAACAAGCAAUUUUUAAGGGUACAGUCGAGUGUGACAGCGAGACAGCUUUUGAGCUAGCAGCGCAUGUGUUGCAGGCAGCACAUGGAGAUUAUGAAGAUGAUGAUAUAACUCGUAGUCAGCUAAAGAAACUUCCAGUUCUCCCGACCAGUAUAUUUAAGGACCAUCCUUCUAUACAGUACUGUGAGGAUAGAGUUAUAGACCAUUAUAAGAAGUUAUCAGGGCAGUCCAGGGGGUCAGCUAUUGUGAAUUAUCUGAGUAUAGUGGAAACGUUACCGACAUACGGAAUACACUACUAUGAAGUCAAGGAUAAGACAGGUUUGCCAUGGUGGCUUGGUCUCAGUCCUAAAGGUAUAGCCCAGUAUGACUACGCAGACAAGAGGACACCCAGGAAGGUUUUUCCUUGGAAGCAAUUAGAGAAUCUAUACUUUCGUGAUAGGAAGUUUUCUAUAGAAGUUCACGAUCCAAAAAGAAUCAUACAUACGCUCAGCAGUUUCAACUUGUACGAAGACGCCAUCCAGGAACCAGUCGACCAGUUUGACGAGCUCUCGGACGCCAUAUCUGAUCCGACAACACAAGUGUCAGUGAGUCGUCGCACAUUUGGCCCUGGUAACGUGAAUGUGUACGCCUGGUUUGCUGCCAGUGCGCUAUUAACCAAGACAAUAUGGUCCAUGGCCGUGUGCCAGCACCAGUUUUACUUAGAUAGAAAAAGUAGUAAGGCUCACCUUCCAUUUGUCCGUAGUAUGACAGAGCUGGCGGCAGAGAUCUCUCAGAGCACGUCCUCUCUCCCGGGGUCGGACGGCUCUUCCUUGGGGAUACGGACCAGUAACAGCUGCCACAGUCUGUCCAAGAUCUCUAAUUCGUCCAAAUCAGAUCUGACCACUGAGCAACUAGAGAUUGCACGUGCAGCACAACGUGAUAUGUAUGCCGCGCUGAAGGCAAGAAAAGAAGCCUUAGAAGAGGCGCUAAAAAAGAAAACUGCCGAAUUGAAGCUACUAUGCAUAAGAGAAGGGGACCUCACUGGGGAGCUGCCCCCAGAGACCCCUCUCAUUCCUGGGGAAAUGGUCCCCGUUGUCAGGAAAAGAAUGGGAACAGAAUUCUCCUUGUCCUCAAGAAUUAUUAAUACUGACAGGGAUGAGGAGGAAGACGAAGAACUCGCAAAACUAGAAUUAGAAUUCGAGCUCCAGAACCAGAUUACAAAUGCAGCACUAAAAUUGGCCAAAGACACUUCCGCUGCUAAAAGUGUUCGAAAGAGCCGGAGACAGACAUAUCAGAAAUCUCGAGAAAAGCUCCAGGAUAUUGAAAAAAGGCUUAACGAGAUGAAGUACAAGAAAGGCCAGGCCCUAGUCAAGCAUCACCAGCCGUCCUUAGAUGAUGAAAGCAUUGGCACAGCAGACAGUGUUUCACUAGAUCGCCAGAGUAUAAAAAGUGAAGCCAAAAGUGACAGUGCUAGUGAUAUUAGUGCCAAAACACAGGAGUCCGAGAAGUCCGCUGGUCUGACUUCCCUUUCGCGACUCCAGGCAUCAGUCGCCAAACCUUCUAGUUCAGACUCCGAUAAACCUCCAAGGCCUCCUAAAACAUUCCGACUCAAAAAUCUCAAAGAUAUAUUGGAAGAGCCAGAGAGUGGGACAUCAAAGAAAUUGAGUCCUGUGAAUCUUACGAAGCCUCACUCUGACCAGAAUAUGGCGUCAAAGGAGAACAGUGGAAGUUAUUCGGUUUCUGCUGCGCUGCUGAGUAAAAAGAAACAUGGGGGCAAUGACACAGCAAAGACUGUCAAUGCUACAGUGGUUGACGCAAGUGAUAAAGAAAGUUCUAAAAGUAGCUCAAAGACAGAAUCAGAGUACCCAUCACCAUUCACGUCUCCGGCAGUGCAGAGAGUACACAAGGACCAUCCUAAGGUUACAGUCAUAACUUCUCCUAAAGUGGAGAUAGUUGAAGUAGAACACGGCACACCUCCGCGAGAACACAAGCGCCCGUCAACGCCCUCGUCACAGUCCUUGACCUCCAUGGAGUCCCAGGGGUCAGGAAGGUCAGGGUCAUACUCCCAGAGGUCAGCGUACUCCUCACCAUCAGCCAGCCCCCAGAGGCAGCCCAACUACCCUAGGGGGUCUUCUCCAAGCCCUAGACUGGGAAGGCAAGGGUCCAAAGAUGUAGGCUACACUCCUAACACAGUUUAUUCCACCAGAACACAUUACAGAACACUACAAUACCCAACCUUCAGUUCACGGGUCAACUCCACCUCCAGCAACCUCUCCGAGUACGAUAACUUGAGUAGUACCUCAACACGAGACUCCUCGGGAGGACGAAGUGCACGUUACGAAACAAACGUUGACUCUGGGAGGACGGUGCCCAUGCACAAUAUGUACAACGUGAACACCGGUAGCACCGCACAUGCGGGACAUUAUCAGAGCACAGAUGAGUUGAAGGGUGGUGGCGAGGGGCUGUACGGAGGAGGGGAUAAUUCUAGUGUAGGGAGUGACGAUAGGGGCGGAUUUCCAGCUCGGCAUAACAGUUUAGAAGGGACCUAUAGACGAGGAAGUAAGGAAUAUCCCAGAUAUGGAAGCCUAGAAAGGAAUGUCAAUACAUUUACUAGGCAACAACAGUACUAUCUUGACCAACAACAACAGCAACAGCAGCACCAACGACAGGAGGAAAAUUUACCGGAAUUGACCCCAUCAAGAUUUGGUAGCAAAAGAGACUCACAUUCAGAUUUUGGUGACUAUUUUGAGCGGGAUCGUCCUGUGCAUAAUAUGCCCCAUCACCAUCACCAACAGCAUCAUCAUCAUCAUCAUCAGCAACACAAGCAGCAACAUCAUCAUUCGUCCCAUCCCCACCACCAACAACAUCAGAGGUAUAGUAAUAUUGAGGAGAAAAGUUACGGAGCUGCAGAGGCAUCAAUUCCCUACAUAGACUCAAACGGCCAUCGGCAUGAACCGAGGCAAUGGUAUGAGACCUCAGAAUCUCCACCAUCUUUAAAACAUCGGCACCACAGUGGCAGUGACUCACCACGCUAUGAGAGCCCACUACAGCCGAAUGUCAAACAUGACAUUAUGAACAUCUCCCGGGAUAUUCAGCAAAGACUUUCUGUAGAAAGAGAGAAAAACCCAGAGAGAAAUGAAAAUAGGACUAAUACAAAAGGGGCGCCAGAGUCCCCAAAACCCGUCAUGACUGUGACAAAAUUCCGCCCAUAUAGGGAAGUGACAAAACCAUACGAGUUGUCAGACUUUUACAAGUAUAGUGAAAAGUUACGACGGCAGCGGAGUAACGAGAGCCCAGGAUCACAGAGCAGUGGCACGCCGCCACACUCGGGGCAAGAGCCACAUAGUCCAAGGUCACCAUAUUUAUCACAACGCACACCUCAUCACCAGGGGGCAGCAGCUGCAGGAGGACAAGGGGCCACUUACUCUGAGGGAGGCUAUGACAGGCCUCCCCUCAGUCCAGCAUCUUACGAGACAGUGCGUGAGCGCGGGCUUGGCUCGUACACAGUACAGAGUCACCAAGCACCACGCUAUCAUACGCAAACUGCUGGUUACCAUUCACAAAGUAGCUCUUCACGACAGGUGCAAUAUACAGCACCGCAGCCAAUGAAAUGCGAGCCUGUGUUAUCACCACCACCAGAUGGCAGCAACAGUAGUAGUAGUGGUGCUCGUAGGUUACAUUCCGACUCCUCUGAAUUGAACCCGCCUUCUAAACUCGUUAGCCGCGAUGCUAGCUUCACUUUUGAUGCUGGCGAGAGUUUAGCCGAGGCUUUUAGUGAAGAGAUGCUUGCAUGGUAUGAGGAUCAGGAUAACACUAUCAAACCUGCCACUAUUGUAUGACACAUGCAUAGAUGGCGCUAGGUGAGAAGACAAACUGGUGUAGAAGUGGGUCACAUUUUUGGAUAGAAAAAGUGUGAAACUAUCUAGAUAUUGUGGAGUUGCAAUUCUUGUUGUGUCUUACUAAACUAGCGCUGAGCACCCUGUGUGUAGAGGGAACUUCUUCACCAUUUAUGGCACUCACAUAAUAGUUAACUAAGGGGUGUUGUGUUGGUUUGUCAUGGUUUCGCUUAAAACAUAUCCACUGCUGCUUUAUUAACUGCUUUUUUAUUGCCUCGCUUCGUUGAACCUUUGGUAAUAAGAAGUAGGAAUUAUUGCAGAAAUUGAAACUAAUCAAUCAAACCAAAAUGAAACUGAUCAGUUUUUAGUAAAGAUGGAUUCGUGCCAAUUGAGGUGUGUAAGUACACCAAUAGAUGACGCUGUGUGCAUGUCAUCAUUUGAACUUGAGAUUAGACAUUGGUUAGAUUGAUUGGUCAACUCUGCUCAGAUGGUGUCGAUAAGGGAAACUGCAUGUUACUAGGUACUUUUACCUGAUGCACUAGUGAAAGGGUUUUAAACUAGUUUUCUACAUUUUUCAUAUACUUAAAAUAACAUUUGAUAUUUUAUACUUGAAAAUCACUAAACAAAAACAUCUGAAUAUAAGAAAAGUUGCAGUUUUGGCCUUAUGAACCAUUGCCUCUAAAAAAGGGAAAUUUUAAAGGGAAAUGGAUCUUUCCUCAUUAAAUAAUAAGCACAGUUAAGCAAUUUGUAUGCAAAAUACUGACAAGUUUUAUUUUCAAAAUGUUCAAUUUAAAAAGUGCAGUGUAUUUUACCAUUUCCCAAUUUCCAUGAAUUUGAAUCAUUUCCCGAUUGAGAACACUAGUUUACCACAUGGUAAUUGAAAUAGCUACAUUCAUGCCAGUUAGCAUGGGUAGAUUGGGUAGGAAAUAAAACUAACACCAGACUUCAGCUGAGGCCAAAAGCUUCUUCGGAGGGCACCAAGCUGGUUUCUGGCUGAUGGUCACCUUAACCCUAUAGCUGCCUCCUUAGGAAUGCAUAAAUGACAAAACCAAUUCAGGCUUGGUUCUCCUUCUGUCAACUUGGCUUAGCUCCACCCACUCAAGACUAAGCUCCGCCCACACCUGCUAAGCACCACCCAUACAAAGAUUAGCUCCACCCACAAAUAUCUGCCAUUACAAGGAUUUGUGCUAUUUUUUUCACCUACCUAGCAGUUGCAUGGAUAAAGCAUGGCAGGCAGGUUUUGUGAAAGUAUACUGCACUGAUGGUUUGGCAUGCAGGGGAGUGUAUUUUUGGAAAUGUGCCACUUGGAAUUCCAGAUAAUGCUACUAUAGCAUAAAAGUAAUUUCUGCACCUGUAGAUUUUUUUCUGUUCUGUGACUUAAACUUUAAAGAGGGGUGAAAUGAAAUCAAACAAAUUAAAGAUGCAUGAAAGCUCUAAGAUUUCAACAUGGUUCUUUCUCGUGUGUUCCAUGAGUGCACUUCAAUCGUAACAAGAUAUGCCAAGACUUCAGGAAUUCUCAAAAUGAUCAACUUAAAGGAAAUCGUGAAUUUGCUACAGUUACUUAUUUGCUAGUGUCACCUCUGUUCUUGUACAAACCAAAUAUGUCUUAUGAAAGUGGGACCAACUUUCAUUUUUAUUUGUGUUGUAUAAUUUUGAAAAAAAAAGCAUAAGAUUGAAUACCUUUGCAGGCAGUGGCGUUUUAGAGCGUCCGAACUAUCGGUAUGCCCUCUAUGUAGGCAUACAGCGUUGUUAGGCUUGUGGCUGCUGCUUGAUGUAGGCGAAUGGCAAACGAGACGACCUCUCACUUAUUCAGGGUAUAUCGUGUUUUAAGUCAUAAAUUGUACGACAAGAAACUGUUUUAUUACGUAUGGUUAAUGAGCCAACUGACACGGAAGUCCGAGUUGGUCUUUUAAGUUAUUAUUAUAACGUUAUUCUAAAGCAAUGAAGUUGUAACUAUUGAUUGUAAUUCAUUGUUUUGUAUAUAUGUGUAUGUCAAUUCAUUUAGUUCACUGAUAGCUUGUGUAUAUCACUUUAUCGUCAAUAUAAUUUUAUCAUUUGUACUGUGUACCAGUGAAAAGUAUGCUAUUGCUGCAGUAAAGAAUGAUACAACCCUA
RNAcentral lists this unclassified non-coding RNA (6263 nucleotides) under Lingula anatina. Its description in RNAcentral is "fERM domain-containing protein 4A, transcript variant X6". Lineage: Eukaryota; Metazoa; Brachiopoda; Lingulata; Lingulida; Lingulidae. The record is from RNAcentral.